UUUAUUAUGUGAUCAUGUUUGAUUGACUAACUUUGAUGUGGCUUACAUGUUUUGUUUGAAGUUUCUAUUUGGCUAUGUUUGGUUUAAGAUGUUUAGGCAAUAAUUGAAUUCCUUUCUUGUGUGCUUUGAAUUUCGAGGACGAAAUUCUUUUAAGGGGGGUGGAGUUGUAACGCCCUCUUUGAAUUAUUUGAUUUAUUUAAUUAUUUAAUUGAGUCUAAAAUUUAUUAAGAAGAGUUUAAAAUAUAUUUAUUUGAUUAUGUGAUUUAUUAAGUG
This 273-nucleotide long non-coding RNA is filed under the name Medicago truncatula (barrel medic). RNAcentral describes it as "long non-coding RNA (MTRU_LNC005261)". Lineage: Eukaryota; Viridiplantae; Streptophyta; Magnoliopsida; Fabales; Fabaceae. The record is from RNAcentral.